UACAGAGGGGGCAAGCGUUAUUCGGAAUUAUUGGGCGUAAAGCGCGCGUAGGCGGACCUGCAAGUCGGGGGUGAAAGCCCGAGGCUCAACCUCGGAACUGCCUUCGAUACUGCGGGUCUCGAGUCCGGGAGAGGUGAGUGGAAUUCCUAGUGUAGAGGUGAAAUUCGUAGAUAUUAGGAAGAACACCAGUGGCGAAGGCGGCUCACUGGCCCGUUUCUGACGCUGCAGCGCGAAAGCGUGGGGAUCAAACAGG
This 253-nucleotide ribosomal RNA is filed under the name uncultured bacterium. RNAcentral's name for it is "partial 16S ribosomal RNA". It matches the Rfam family "Bacterial small subunit ribosomal RNA", at positions 524 to 776 of the family's 1533-position model. The record is from RNAcentral.